Molecule: transfer RNA, 72 nt
Filed under: Nematostella vectensis (starlet sea anemone)
Lineage: Eukaryota; Metazoa; Cnidaria; Anthozoa; Actiniaria; Edwardsiidae
Rfam family: tRNA
About the family: Transfer RNA (tRNA) molecules are approximately 80 nucleotides in length.
Source: Rfam by way of RNAcentral
GGCUCAGUGGUCUAGUGGUAUGAUUCUCGCUUUGGGUGCGAGAGGCAACGGGUUCGAUUCCCGUCUGAGCCC